Molecule: unclassified non-coding RNA, 240 nt
Filed under: soil metagenome
Description: partial contains 5.8S ribosomal RNA, internal transcribed spacer 2, and large subunit ribosomal RNA
Source: RNAcentral
AACGCACGAGACCUGCGGACCUGCGGAGGGAUCAUUACCGAGUUAGGGUUCCUCUCACGGGCCCGACCUCCCAACCCUGUGUCUAUCACACCUUGUCGUUGCUUCGGCGGACCGGUUUGACUCCGGUCGCGACCGCCGGGGGUGCUUCACCCCGGGAGAGCGUCCGCCGAUGGCCCAAUCACAAAACUUCUUUGUACCAAAACCGGUCGUCUAAAUCAAACUUGAUCAUAAUCAAAAAAC